RNAcentral lists this ribosomal RNA (421 nucleotides) under uncultured bacterium. RNAcentral's name for it is "bacterial SSU rRNA". It matches the Rfam family "Bacterial small subunit ribosomal RNA", at positions 356 to 774 of the family's 1533-position model. The record is from RNAcentral.
GAGGAAUAUUGGGCAAUGCCCGCAAGGGUGACCCAGCAACGCCGCGUGGAGGAUGAAUGUCGUAAGAUUGUAGACUCCUGUUAGAGGGGAAGAAUAGUACCGGUUGGACCGGUAUAUGACUGUACCCUCAGAGAAAGCCCCGGCUAACUACGUGCCAGCAGCCGCGGUAAUACGUAGGGGGCAAGCGUUGUCCGGAUUUACUGGGUGUAAAGGGCGCGCAGGCGGGAUAAAAAGUCAGUGGUGAAAUCCUACAGAUUAACUGUAGAACUGCCUUUGAUACUUUUAUUCUUGAGUUCGGGAGAGAGAGACAGAAUUCCAGGUGUAGUGGUAAAAUACGUAGAUAUCUGGAAGAACACCAGUUGCGAAGGCGGUCUCUUGGUCCGACACUGACGCUGAGGCGCGAAAGCGUGAGGAGCAAACA